Long non-coding RNA from Osmia bicornis bicornis, 1645 nucleotides. RefSeq lists it as uncharacterized. Lineage: Eukaryota; Metazoa; Arthropoda; Insecta; Hymenoptera; Megachilidae. The transcript has 3 exons. The record is from RefSeq and is a predicted model, not a curated record.
ACAACUUUUGUAAUUCGAAUUAAAAUAACGUAUUAUUAAUUAUAAUUAAAAUAUUAAUAAUAAUAAUAGUAAUGACAAAAUAUUAUUUUUCAAUAUUUUUGCACAAAACUGCAACGAGUGCAAAAAUAUUUACGAAGGAACGAAAUCCGGUCAAUAUUUCCAUCGUCUACUUCCUGUUAUUGGGAUUUCAUUGCCGGAUCACAAAAAUAUACGAAACGUGUACAAAAAAUCAAGAAAGAAAUAAGUGACAGUUUUAUUGAUUGAUUGUUUGAUAGUAUUAGUUAAUCAAUCAACAGACGUAAAUUCAUAACAAGAAGUUAGGUUGAAAACCAGUGGACUGUGACGUUGGCAGACAUUGACUUUUUUGCAACUACGUAAAGGUGUGCGGAAAUAUGAUUCGAUAACUUUCUCCUGAAGUAUGCCUCGAGACUGGUGAUUAGGAAGCUAUUAAUUCUUCAACCCUGAAUUACCGACAGAGCGGCAUCUUUGCAGUCAGAUGUGCCUCCUCUCCACUCUACUUGUUUACUUUUUUUAUAUAAGAUGGAAGUAUAAAUCAUUACUGGAUAAACAAGCUAAGUAGAUUUGAAGUAGCUUUAAAACCCUGCUAAGAAACAAUUAAAAAAAAUGAAAUUACAAUAAAAAGAAUAACUUCCGAAACAUGUAGGCACGUGUUUAUGCGCGGGACACUACAUGAUUUUCAUAAUCGGUCAUUGACAUUUUAUUUAUCUACCUCUUUGAUCAUAUUUUUUUGCAAUAUAUUAAUAAAAUUAUUCAUAAAGUGUUAUUAUAAUAAUACAUGUGUCUGUACACGUUUGUACACAAAUUACUUACAGAAGUAACAACACUCUAGUGAAAUUUUUCCACAAAAAUGCCGGUGCAAGAUCGAUAAAUUAAAGAAAAACAGAAAUACGAAAAACCCCGAAAUUUUUUCAAGGUGAUACAGAGAGAAAAUAAAAGGCAAAUCAGUUUCCAGUGAUACACCGCAUGGUCAGAAUGGUCGAAUGGGAAAUCACCGGGUAUAAAUAGAGGAUGACUCGCAGUCUGGACUCGCUUGGACAUCGUUAGUCGAUGAUCAUACUUCGCCACGCCAAGUAGGUAUCGAUACAUUGCGGAUCGAUGAUCCUCUAAUUACGCGUUGGUAUGGACAUUUAACAUCAGAUAUCGGGAAUUCAUCCUUGGAGCAUUGUUCUGCCGUUCCAAAUAUAGCCAAGGAUAGACGUGUCGCGUUACACUUAAACGUGUAAUACCUACGUACUUUCUGAUAAGAGCGUUUUAUACCUCCAUAAAAUAUGGCGCUACGUACAUACAUUAAACACGCGUAACACAUUUGGUUGCUAUCUACACCUGUCGAACAAUCCGUUCGUUUUGUAAUCAUACGUUCGAACAUGAUGGUUUACUAUUCGUGCGUGAAAUUGUAAUUAAGUUCUACGUAAUACCGAUCCAUAAUGAAAGAGGAAAUAAUAGUUAAUUCAAUGAGGCUUGUCUCAUCGCAUAACCGUGGUGUUUUAAUAUAAGCACUGUUGUAGUUUUCCAUCGAAAGAGGAAAAUGAAGGAAUUAAUUGUUUCCAUAGUUUGAAAUAUUUCAAAAUUGUAUUAGCGAAACUAGGGACCGAUUCUGUGAAAAAAAAAAAAGAAGGAACCAUUA